CCUACGGGAGGCAGCAGUGAGGAAUAUUGGUCAAUGGACGAGAGUCUGAACCAGCCAAGUAGCGUGAAGGAUGACUGCCCUAUGGGUUGUAAACUUCUUUUAUAUGGGAAUAAAAUGUUCCACGUGUGGGAUUUUGUAUGUACCAUAUGAAUAAGGAUCGGCUAACUCCGUGCCAGCAGCCGCUGUAAUACGGAGGAUCCGAGCGUUAUCCGGAUUUAUUGGGUUUAAAGGGAGCGUAGGUGGAUUGUUAAGUCAGUUGUGAAAGUUUGCGGCGCAACCGUAAAAUUGCAGUUGAAACUGACAGUCUUGAGUACAGUAGAGGUGGGCGGAAUUCGUGGUGUAGCGGUGAAAUGCUUAGAUAUCACGAAGAACUCCGAUUGCGAAGGCAGUUCACUGGACUGCAACUGACACUGAGGCUCGAAAGUGUGGGUAUCAAACAGGAUUAGAUACCCCAGUAGUC
RNAcentral lists this ribosomal RNA (460 nucleotides) under uncultured bacterium. RNAcentral describes it as "partial 16S ribosomal RNA". It matches the Rfam family "Bacterial small subunit ribosomal RNA", at positions 338 to 795 of the family's 1533-position model. The record is from RNAcentral.